This 66-nucleotide transfer RNA is filed under the name Bradyrhizobium sp. CIR48. Its description in RNAcentral is "tRNA-Arg". It matches the Rfam family "tRNA". From Rfam's summary of the family: Transfer RNA (tRNA) molecules are approximately 80 nucleotides in length. Their secondary structure includes four short double-helical elements and three loops (D, anti-codon, and T loops). Further hydrogen bonds mediate the characteristic L-shaped molecular structure. tRNAs have two regions of fundamental functional importance: the anti-codon, which is responsible for specific mRNA codon recognition, and the 3' end, to which the tRNAs corresponding amino acid is attached (by aminoacyl-tRNA synthetases). tRNAs cope with the degeneracy of the genetic code in two manners: having more than one tRNA (with a specific anti-codon) for a particular amino acid; and 'wobble' base-pairing, i.e. permitting non-standard base-pairing at the 3rd anti-codon position. The record is from RNAcentral. Lineage: Bacteria; Pseudomonadati; Pseudomonadota; Alphaproteobacteria; Hyphomicrobiales; Nitrobacteraceae.
GUUGCUGGAUAGAGCGUUGCCCUCCGAAGGCAAAGGUCACACGUUCGAAUCGUGUCGGGUGCGCCA